Ctenopharyngodon idella (grass carp) is the source of this 6684-nucleotide long non-coding RNA. RefSeq lists it as uncharacterized. The transcript is spliced from 4 exons. Lineage: Eukaryota; Metazoa; Chordata; Actinopteri; Cypriniformes; Xenocyprididae. The record is from RefSeq and is a predicted model, not a curated record.
AUCCAUCCAUCCAUCCAUCUAUUCUUUCUAUCAAUUGUUUACUCCAUCCAUACAAUCUAUCCAUCCUUCUAUCUAUCUAUCUAUCUAUCUAUCUAUCUAUCUAUCUAUCUAUCUAUCUAUCUAUCUAUCUAUCUAUCUAUCUAUCUAUCUAUCUAUCUAUCCAUCAGUAAUUUUAAAUUGUUUACCAUCACUGAAAAGUGGUUUAACUGUUUUGAGAACAUUGUAAUUUGCCUAGCUUAUGCCUUUAUCCAUCACAACAAUUAUAAUGUCGUUACCUGUGUGAAAUAACACUAUUUAAAUGCAUUAUUUAGCAUAAUGCUCCUUUGACUCAGUCAAGGCAGAUGAGGCUGUAGGCUGAUGAUUGAAUCUCUGUCCAUGGUACUGAAGAUCACUUUGUAGUCCAGCAAUCCUCCAGAUUGAUUCUGCAGUUCUCCGCAGGUGCAGAGCAGUCUGACUCUCAUUAACUGAUAGCAGCUGAGAUGGAAAUAUCAGCAGGGAAAAAGUGAAUCAGAGCUCAGCCAGGAGACUGUCACACAGUGGCUUUAGCCCUGCGGAUAUUAGAUGUAAAGGCCUGCAUGGUCUUGCUGGGACACAGUGUAAGUUGUUACUGCCACUGACCACCACUUCCUUCCAGAGGAUGAAGUAGCAAAGUAGGACAGUAAAGCUGAUAAGACUCUGACACUUUUAAAGUUUCACAGAAGUACAAUGAAACACCUCAGAGUUUCUGUCAAAUGUGAUUUCUGGUAUUAGGUCAGAUGCAGAGCUAAGUCAAGGCUCUGCAGCAUGUUUUUCAUUAUUAGUCUAAUAAAAGUACCUUCUUGUAUAUUUUAUAGCACUUCUGUAGCUCAAACAAAGCAAUGGCUUUGGUUUUAAAUACAAUGCAAUGUACUGUAAGCUGCUUUGGGUGGAUGUAAUUUUCAAAUUCAGAAAUGUAAAUAAAUUGACCCAAUUUACUUUGUCAAAAGGAUAUGGUUUACUAAAAAAUGACAAAUGAAAUUCUCUCCGAGCAUUAUCUCAAUAUUAAAAUAAUACAAAAUAUUGUCCUUCAGUUCAAAUGGACUAUUUCAUCUAUUCAUUUAAUUGUUCUUAAUACUCAGCUCAUGCCUCAGACGACUCGCCCACAAUAGGGUAGAGGAAAUCUAAUCAUAGGAGCUCACCGCUUCCGUUUAUCAGGCCUGGAGGGGACCUGCUCAUUUGCAUAUUCAUAAUGCUGUUCUCCAUUGUUGUGAGGACUUAAGAGAUGAGCUACAGCAUAGCACUGGGAGUACAGCCCUGUUCAACAACCACAUAAACUGCUAAUUACCCACAGAAUCAGGUCAAGCAAGACGUCCGAGCUGAAAACCUCUUACGAUAAGAUCUAAUUACAGCAUGACCUAUUAACACAGUGUAAUUUUGGUGAAUAAAAAUAAUCAACAUAAAUGUGAUGCGUUCUUGAUAAUCUAUCAAAGAUCAGUAUGGACUCAUUAGUUGAUCUUAAUGGCUCUUCAUUCAUUUCGGUAUUUCCAGAAACUAUUAAAAGAUAUCUGACAGCAAGUUUCAAAAAAGCCUUGAGACUAAUGAUGCUUUUUACUUUGUUGGAUUUGCCUUUAAUCAGCCGAGAUGUGCUUGACCGUCAUGUCAGAGUUUUAGUCAUUAGUCUUUGUGAUGACUGAAAGACAGUGGACUAAAUAAAUUGGAAGUCUUCAAUGAAAGCUUUAAAUAGAGAUGAUGUUUUAGUUUUGAGAACUAUUCAAAUAGAUGCUUUUUGAAAACCGCAUCUUUUCAUGUUUUCCAUGAAUAACAAAACUGCAGCCAUGUUUUCAAGUGUUUAUUCCUUUUUUUCUCCACUGUCUAAUUUUCCAUCCACCUUGCAAUUUUGAGACAUGGCCUUCUUAUCCGCCUGCUGAAAGAGAGCCUCUGAUGGAGCUAGAUUGGAUGUAAUGACAUCUCUUCAUCUGAAUCCUGUAGACCAAUCAUAAGGUUUAAAGAAGAGGUGGACGGCACAUUAUAGAGUGUCAGAGCUGUUAGUGUUAACACACAGAAUGGCAAAUUCCUAUUAGAGCAAACAGCCAGACAUUACAGACAGAUGCCCUGCUCCCAGAGGAGGUCAUUAUUGCACUGGCUGAGCUAGACUCACUGCAAGGAGGAAGUUUCGUGUACGACACUCUUCUGAAAGCAGUUGCAGACGAGUGGCUGACGAAAAACUGGAGUGAUGUAGAUUGAGCAUGAAAAUAAUGGAUUAUCAUGAUGUUAAAUGUCCUGGAGGAAUGUCGGAUGAUAUAUCUAGAUGGGUUUGAAAUGUGAUAAAUCCAGCUGACAGAGUAGUCCUGACCUUAAGGCACUAGAAUAUGACAGCAACUAAUGGUGAAAUUUGACAGACCACAGAGGAAUAUUGUGGGACUUGAAACACCUGCAGCAUAAUGUACCUUUUACAUCACUUUUCAGAGCAUUUCAAUGACUGUUUUCUUGCACUGAGAUGCUCCAGGAGUUCUAAUAACAAAAAAUGUAAAUAAUUACUCACCCUCAUGUCGUUCUACACCCGUAAGACCUUGGUUCAUCUUCGAAACACAAAUUAAGAUAUUUCUGAUGAAAUCCGAUGGCUCAGUGAGGCUUCUAUUGCCAGCAAUGUUACUGAACACAUCUUCGAAACACAAGAUCUUUUUGAUGAAAUCAGAGUGAUUUUUGUCUAAUCACUUUUUUUUAGUAAACUUUUUUAGUAAAACAAAAUGAAAAUAAACUUAACUUGAAAUUAAAUGACUGGAAUAGAUUGGUUUUAAAAAGUGUUUUAAAAUUUAAAAAAUAAAAUAAAAUUAAUACUAAUUCUUUAAAUGCAAACAUUACAUUGAAAUAUUUCAUUUUUAAGUGGUCUUUAAAUAUGGCCUUAAAUUGACCUUAAAGAGGUAAAACUGUAUGUAAACAAGUUUACAGAUUUGUCUUUAUUCUCCCAUGUCCACUGUGGUAAAGUGGUAUUUUGUGAGUCUGGGAGAGAUGUCCCAUGGGAUACAGAAGUUCACUACAGAGCCAGCCAAUUAUGUAGCUUAAACUUUGGCUGAAUGCAAAUGCAGCCUGUUCUUUGCUGCCACUGACUGCUGAAGCCCUUCAGCAGUGUGGAAACUGACAGCCUGUAAGUUUUUGCUGUAUCCUUAAACAAAACAUACAUCUACAGAUCCCUCCAUACAGUAGGCUCCAUCCUUAUUAUCUCAAUUUACAGUUAAGUGUUUGUUUUUACUUUUUUUUUUUUUUUUUUUGUACCUGAUGUAAGAUGUAGUAUAGGUUAGCCAUGUAUAAGUUUGUGAUUACUCUUCAAAAUCAAACUGACUUAAUAAUAUACGUGGUAUAUUUUUCAGUGCAUGACAGUCUGAGCUCUCUGUGGUGGUCUUAAUUGCAUCUUGCAGUCAGUGGUUGUCAGAGGUGCCUAUGACAGCGGUGUAUUCCAUAGGGAGUGGUAAUCACCUGACUGAUAGAACAGCUCUGCGUGCAUCUGUCUUCCGCUUGUUGUAACGUGAUGAUAAAGAAUUAGGCAGCCUUUCAUGCAGCCUUUGAUGUCUCCAGCAUCUUAAUCUGGCUCUCACCUUGUGUGUGCUUCCGUCUCAAAUGUUUAUUUUCUAAUGCCUGUGUCAUACGUUCAGAGCAAAUGGUCCAAUUCAAAUAUUUGGGAUUUUAAAUAGUUAGUUCACCCAAAAAUGAAAAUUCUCUCAUUAAUUACUCACCUUCAUGUCGUUUCAAAACCGUAAGACUUUCAUUCACCUUCAUAACAUAAAUGAAGAUCUUUUUGAUUAAAUCUGAGAGCUUUCUGUCCUUCCAUAGACAGCCUAUGCAAUUGAAACUUUGACGCUUCAAAAAGUUCAUAAGGAGAUCAGAAAACUAAUCCAUGGCUGAGGUAUCUUAUUGAUUUAAGGUUUCAUUCCUGAUGUUUUUCUUGGUAUAACAUGAAUGCUUUUGAAAAUAAACUGAAAAACAAAUCUUUUAAAAAGGUCACCUUGAGAGAUUGCACUUAUAUGUCAUGUUUACCAGGAGAAUUUAAUAAUGCGCCCAACGCCAACAACACGAUGAUUACUUGGAGCUCAGUCUAUGCAUAGUGCAUUAGUACAUUCUUGAAACACUCAUUUCAUCUCAAAAUGUGAAGAGGGUUGAAAAGGAAAUCGAACAGAUAUGGAAUCAAGACCCUGUUCCUCUGGGCACCACUCUAGAAAGUUCUAUUGACGGUCACUGCUAACCAACCAUGCACAAUGCCUCUUUUGACUUUAAAUGAUUGUGGGUUAUUCGUUGGACGUGACAAAUGGCCUGGACUGAAACUGGGUUCCAGCAACACAUAAUAGGGGGCUACGGUGGCACAGAGGAAUGAACAGAGGUGCCUUUGACUGUUGACCCCGACAGCACAGGGUAAUAGAGGUGUGCCGAGGAAAGAUAGCCUAUGUCGCAUGAAAUAAAAUGAAAAAAAAAAAAAAAAAAAUUCACAAAGUGUUGUGCAACAUGUUAUAUUUUGUCUGUACUCUCAGACUAUGGACAACAUCAUCGGCGCCAGUUGCAAAUAGAGACACGCUAUGGAAAAUGAGUAAUUGAUUUAGUAUUAAAAUCAAUAUUACACACAUAAACAUGUAAUUGAAUGUCUAGGGGUGUUGGCUUCAUAAUCGUCAGCAUAAACUGCUACAUCAAUCAAUCGUGAUGAAAUGAAGGGAUGUUUUCGCAAACAAAUCAGCCCCCGGUGUCGAUAAGUCACACAGCUUGUAUAUUUUCUUGCAGAUUCAAGAAACAGCAGUGGAUAUUAUAGAUAAUUUGAUAUUUUUCUUGAAUUUCCUACUUAGGAAAAUGAAAGGUCAGCCCAGUUCACAUGGCAAACUGACUCAAUUUAAAAGCAGAUCACUAGAGGGGAGCAAACAAUGGCAAGCAAUCUCAAAUCGUCUUUCACAGGGUUGAGGGAGUUAUCACACACAGAAAUUAUGACCAGUAAUAACAUACACAGACUCACACACACACAUCAUUGUGUUAGCUUUCCAUUACACUGCUUACUAAUGGUGUUUGUUUGGAGGUGAUUGAUAUUUCACCACCAGCUUUGACUUAAUCGGAAAGGGUAGAGCUCCAGGUAAUGUGGUGUAUAAUGAUAAUGAUUCAUACACUAGAGCCGUCAAUCAGUAAGUUAACUUAAAUAAAGAAAUCUGUUUAGGUAUUUGCAUGGCCUGUUUUUGCUUUGCCCUUCAAGAUUUAUGUCAUACAACAGAUUCAUUUCUGUUUAAUGCAAUGCACUCAAAUUCUGCUUUUGUUUUCCUUUAGGGUUGGACAAAAUUCAGAAAUCACUCCCUUUUGGAUUUUCCAGUGGUGUAAUUUUAAUUGAAUUGGCAACAUAUCACAAGAAGUUGAAUUGGAAUUUGAUAGGAACUGAACUGGGAACUGAAAUAUAAUUCAACAGAUUAAAUUCCAGUUCCAACACUGAAUAGAGGGUAUGCACGUGACGUCACCAUCGGCCAUUGUGACUGCGGUUAUGCCCACUGAGUGGCAGCAUUGGUUUUCAGCGUGAAUGCCGCGUAAAACACACAAAACACGUCCAAAACGGGAAUGAUCUUUGCGAUUGACUGUACAAAUAGAUUUGACAAGAAAUCUGAGGUAUAUUUUUACAGACUGCCGAAAGCUACAGAAAAGAGAAGCUAAUGGAUCGCUGCAAUUCACAGAAACAACUGGACUCUAGGCAGCGAAAUAUGGAUUUGCAGUUAUCAUUUUGUGUCAGUAUGCUGAAUUUUGAGGAAUAGUUCACUGGAAAAUUCUGUCAUCACCCUUAUGCAUUGCAAAUCCACUUGACUUUCUUCCAUGGAACACAAAAGUGCAGGCCUCACAGUAUGCGGUCUGUCUCCUGUAGUGCAGUGGGGUUGGAGGCGUCUUUUGGAUUUUCAUGGAUAUUUCUGGAAUCAUGAAAGCACAGUUCACCAGAGGGCAAGACUUGGCUGUCAAUGGUUAUUAUUCACCAGGGCUAAGGUUGCACUUUAUGACUACACUGCAGCAGUAUGCACACAGAACAGAUGCUUGUCACAGCAUCUAAAAGGCACAUGGGAAAACCAAUAAGGACUUUCAAAGGAGCCACUCUGCAGGGGUCCAUGAACAAACAGCCUGAUGUUGGAACGAACGAAGGAGUGAGGGAAAACUGCCAGCUGAUCAUAGUUAACUAGAUUGUUACUGUUAUCAGUGUGCUGUAUCAAAAUGAGAUCAAACUACACCUUAUUGUGGUAAAUCACAUCAUAAAAUUUGACUUUGUGUGACCUUGGAAGGAAAGUGGUGGAGCAGUUUUAAUGAGAUGGAUUUCAACCAAGUACACUAAUUUCAUUUGAGUUGAUUAGUGACAAAAAGCUUUUCUGAAACUUCUCCAUCAGUGUGAAUGAGAUCAUUUUAAAACCUUUAGCACUUUAUUUGGAGAUUAUUUGAAGUUUAAGUUCUUGGAAUAAAAUGAAAGCACAAACACAGUCUAGUCUUAGCCUCAGAUGGCCCACCCACAGACCACAGAUGCACAAAGCCUGUUCACUGACAAUCUAAUGCAUAUUGAUUUGACACAUUUUUAAAUUAAAUUUAAACAAAUUCCAUGAGACACACAGGGUUUUGUUUUAGUUCAAAAACAAUUUAUUCAUAUAAUUUCUUGAUGCAUGCUGUCCAGCCAUACUGUAUUUAUGAUCAUUCUGAGUAAUUUUAUAGAAUUAUGAUCGUUGAGAUACUUUUAUAGUU